AGAAUAGAGAGAGAGGUGAGGGCGAACCGCGGCUCACCGUACCCCGCAGAAUAAAGUGCGGCUUGCCGCACCCCGCACACACCGCCGACCGAAUUCCCACCGUACUGCCUGGGCAGCGCUGUCGCCGUCGUGCGUGGGGAAACCAGCACUGUACCAAGGUUUAUCUACACUCUUCUCAGCCUGGGAAUCAUCAUGUGCUUGCUGACCUGCUUGGGCCACAUCGCCGCUGAAACUGCAAACAGCCCCUGCCUGUCUUGUCACGUGAUCUUUGUAUUCUUGCUUGUGAUAUUGGAAGCUGCAAUCGUCGCCGAUGUAUUUCUGAAUAGCUACUGGGAGGAGGACAAAUCCCACCAGAUAUAUAUUGUUGGUCACUUUGCUUGCUGGAUCAAUAUAUUGCUGGAUAUAUAUUGUUGGUCAUUUUGCUUGCUGGAUCGAUCAAUAUAUUGCUGGAUAUAUAAGCCA
Molecule: long non-coding RNA, 462 nt
Organism: Triticum aestivum (bread wheat)
Lineage: Eukaryota; Viridiplantae; Streptophyta; Magnoliopsida; Poales; Poaceae
Exons: 4
Source: RefSeq, a predicted model, not a curated record